RNAcentral lists this ribosomal RNA (441 nucleotides) under uncultured bacterium. RNAcentral's name for it is "partial 16S ribosomal RNA". It matches the Rfam family "Bacterial small subunit ribosomal RNA", at positions 338 to 795 of the family's 1533-position model. The record is from RNAcentral.
CCUACGGGUGGCUGCAGUAGGGAAUUUUGCGCAAUGGGGGAAACCCUGACGCAGCAACGCCGCGUGAUCGAUGAAGCCCUUCGGGGUGUAAAGAUCUUUCAGUGGGGACGAAACCUGACGGUAUCCACAGAGGAAACACCCGCUAACUCCAGGCCAGCAGCGGCGGUAAUACGGGGGGUGCAGGCGUUGUCUGGAAUCAUUGGGCGUAAAGCGUGCGUGGGUGGCUCGUUAAGUCUGUGGUUAAAGGCGGAAGCUCAACUUCCGUAGGGCACUGGAUACUGGCGAGCUUGAAUGCGGUAGAGGUAAAGGGAAUUCCUGGUGUAGCGGUGAAAUGCGUAGAUAUCAGGAGGAACAUCGGUGGCGUAAGCGAUUUACUGGGCCGUAAUUGACACUGAGGAACGAAAGCCGGGGUAGCAAAUGGGAUUAGAUACCCCAGUAGUC